RNAcentral lists this ribosomal RNA (496 nucleotides) under uncultured bacterium. RNAcentral describes it as "partial 16S ribosomal RNA". It matches the Rfam family "Bacterial small subunit ribosomal RNA", at positions 28 to 506 of the family's 1533-position model. The record is from RNAcentral.
GAUGAACGCUGGCGGCGUGCCUAAUACAUGCAAGUCGAGCGAACGGACGAGAAGCUUGCUUCUCUGAUGUUAGCGGCGGACGGGUGAGUAACACGUGGAUAACCUACCUAUAAGACUGGGAUAACUUCGGGAAACCGGAGCUAAUACCGGAUAAUAUUUUGAACCGCAUGGUUCAAAAGUGAAAGACGGUCUUGCUGUCACUUAUAGAUGGAUCCGCGCUGCAUUAGCUAGUUGGUAAGGUAACGGCUUACCAAGGCAACGAUGCAUAGCCGACCUGAGAGGGUGAUCGGCCACACUGGAACUGAGACACGGUCCAGACUCCUACGGGAGGCAGCAGUAGGGAAUCUUCCGCAAUGGGCGAAAGCCUGACGGAGCAACGCCGCGUGAGUGAUGAAGGUCUUCGGAUCGUAAAACUCUGUUAUUAGGGAAGAACUUAUGUGUAAGUAACUGUGCACAUCUUGACGGUACCGAAGCAGAAAGCCACGGCUAACUACGG